RNAcentral lists this ribosomal RNA (482 nucleotides) under Streptococcus mutans. RNAcentral describes it as "bacterial SSU rRNA". It matches the Rfam family "Bacterial small subunit ribosomal RNA", at positions 28 to 487 of the family's 1533-position model. Lineage: Bacteria; Bacillati; Bacillota; Bacilli; Lactobacillales; Streptococcaceae. The record is from RNAcentral.
GACGAACGCUGGCGGCGUGCUAAUACAUGCAAGUGGGACGCAAGGAAACACACUGUGCUUGCACACCGUGUUUUCUUGAGUCGCGAACGGGUGAGUAACGCGUAGGUAACCUGCCUAUUAGCGGGGGAUAACUAUUGGAAACGAUAGCUAAUACCGCAUAAUAUUAAUUAUUGCAUGAUAAUUGAUUGAAAGAUGCAAGCGCAUCACUAGUAGAUGGACCUGCGUUGUAUUAGCUAGUUGGUAAGGUAAGAGCUUACCAAGGCGACGAUACAUAGCCGACCUGAGAGGGUGAUCGGCCACACUGGGACUGAGACACGGCCCAGACUCCUACGGGAGGCAGCAGUAGGGAAUCUUCGGCAAUGGACGAAAGUCUGACCGAGCAACGCCGCGUGAGUGAAGAAGGUUUUCGGAUCGUAAAGCUCUGUUGUAAGUCAAGAACGUGUGUGAGAGUGGAAAGUUCACACAGUGACGGAGCUACCAGA